GAUGAACGCUGGCGGCGUGCCUAAUACAUGCAAGUCGAGCGAACGGACGAGAAGCUUGCUUCUCUGAUGUUAGCGGCGGACGGGUGAGUAGCACGUGGAUAACCUACCUAUAAGACUGGGAUAACUUCGGGAAACCGGAGCUAAUACCGGAUAAUAUUUUGAACCGCAUGGUUCAAAAGUGAAAGACGGUCUUGCUGUCACUUAUAGAUGGAUCCGCGCUGCAUUAGCUAGUUGGUAAGGUAACGGCUUACCAAGGCAACGAUGCAUAGCCGACCUGAGAGGGUGAUCGGCCACACUGGAACUGAGACACGGUCCAGACUCCUACGGGAGGCAGCAGUAGGGAAUCUUCCGCAAUGGGCGAAGGCCUGACGGAGCAACGCCGCGUGAGUGAUGAAGGUCUUCGGAUCGUAAAACUCUGUUAUUAGGGAAGAACAUAUGUGUAAGUAACUGUGCACAUCUUGACGGUACCUAAUCAGAAAGCCACGGCUAACUACGUG
RNAcentral lists this ribosomal RNA (497 nucleotides) under uncultured bacterium. RNAcentral describes it as "partial 16S ribosomal RNA". It matches the Rfam family "Bacterial small subunit ribosomal RNA", at positions 28 to 507 of the family's 1533-position model. The record is from RNAcentral.